This is a long non-coding RNA of Perognathus longimembris pacificus (Pacific pocket mouse), 1055 nucleotides long. RefSeq lists it as uncharacterized. NCBI's taxonomy places the organism in Eukaryota, Metazoa, Chordata, Mammalia, Rodentia, Heteromyidae. The record is from RefSeq and is a predicted model, not a curated record. The transcript has 2 exons.
GGUCUAACUUUUUGAAAGACUUAUUAAGUUCAUAUGAGGUUAGAUAUUCCAGAAGACAAAAAGUUAAAGACUUAUGAUUUGCAUAACUCACAUGUGGUAGCUGCUGCCUUGAAGAAGAAAAAGACAGAACUAUCCAAAUAGAAAUCAUUUUGACCCUGAGAUAACAGAAGAUUGAAAUGAAGCAUGUUGUGAUAUAUAUUGAAAAUGAAAAUGGUCUGUAGAAAGCAAAACAAUAAAAAGCUCUUCAUGAAACCAUCCAGGCCCCUGACCAUUCCCAGUCUAGAAUCCAUGCACAUAAUGACCAUGUAUUGGGGGAUCAAUUACGGCCUCCAUGGAAAACAGAAAUCCAGUUGCUUCAGUCAUCCCUCUGUUUGAUUAUAGAGACAUGUUACCAGAUGUGCUAUGUGAAAUGAUUUAAUUCAAAUUCCCUGAUUUCAAGGAUUUACCAACUUCUCUCUAGAGACAUUUGUGAAGUAAAUGUUAAGAAAUGAAAACAAUUUGUCUUUGGUUGAAUUAUUGCUGCUUCAAAUCUCUAAGUCCUAAAAUGCAAACGAAAUUUAAUCUCUGGCUACAGCCUACUCUCUGCGUGACUGAAUUAUAAACAAGCUAAGCACAGCUUGGAGCUGAGGCUGAGAUGUGAGCGCAGGCAAUAAUGCAGAAAUUUCAAGGCCUUGGUUCUACUUCUAAAAGAGUAGCAAAGUCUGUGUUUGGCAAUGUCUGUGUCUUGUCCAUGAUAGGUAGGUUAGGUAGGUAGAUAGACAGGCAGACAGAUAGAUAGAUAGACAGGUAGACAGACAAAGAUAGAGCAAUAAUCUGUAUUUUACCCAGAGGUUUGAAGGUAAUGUUCUUCCACAUUCAAACAUUGCUUCAGUCCUCAUAAAAAUCCCUUGAAAUAUACAUACACAGAAAGAAAUGAGAAAACUACAAGUGAAGUAAUCUUAUUUUAUUUUUCAUACUAAAGCUCUAGGACUAUCUGACCUCAAAGCUCCAAAAUCCAUGCUUUGAUCAGUGAGUUAAUCAGACAGAAGUGACAGAAGUUGAAGGGGAUAGGGCAU